UCUUCCCUCUUUCUUCGUGCCUAAUACAUGCAAGUCGAGCGAACAGACGAGGAGCUUGCUCCUCUGACGUUAGCGGCGGACGGGUGAGUAACACGUGGAUAACCUACCUAUAAGACUGGGAUAACUUCGGGAAACCGGAGCUAAUACCGGAUAAUAUAUUGAACCGCAUGGUUCAAUAGUGAAAGACGGUUUUGCUGUCACUUAUAGAUGGAUCCACGCCGCAUUAGCUAGUUGGUAAGGUAACGGCUUACCAAGGCAACGAUGCGUAGCCGACCUGAGAGGGUGAUCGGCCACACUGGAACUGAGACACGGUCCAGACUCCUACGGGAGGCAGCAGUAGGGAAUCUUCCGCAAUGGGCGAAAGCCUGACGGAGCAACGCCGCGUGAGUGAUGAAGGUCUUCGGAUCGUAAAACUCUGUUAUUAGGGAAGAACAAAUGUGUAAGUAACUAUGCACGUCUUGACGGUACCUAAUCAGAAAGCCACGGCUAACUACGUG
RNAcentral lists this ribosomal RNA (497 nucleotides) under uncultured bacterium. RNAcentral's name for it is "partial 16S ribosomal RNA". It matches the Rfam family "Bacterial small subunit ribosomal RNA", at positions 36 to 507 of the family's 1533-position model. The record is from RNAcentral.